GAUUCGCAAAGAUCAGCUUCAAGAAUGACAGGACUGGAGCCAUUAGCAAGCUCAUCCAGCAGUGAUCAUCCAUCAGAGACUGUCAGCCCAGGGGUGUGUUUGCUCAGCAAUGGAUGAAGCUGGCAGUGACUCCACCAGGCUGAGUAGUUGCAACACUCAGUGGGAGACCAUCUUCUCCUCAACCAGUGCUAGGUGAGAAGCAGUUCGACCUGGUUUGUAAUUUGGAAUAUCUCUCAUGUGGUCAUUGAGAUGAAGAGUUGAUGGACAGUCUCCAGGGAACUGCAACACCAAUUUGGAUUUGGUAUUUCCUACCGAGAGCACAGGCAGUGCCAACACCGCAGAAGAGAACGAGGAGUAAGGGCUCCAGCUGCUCCUCCACUGCUCGUCAGCUUCUGCAGGUCUCACCUCCGUGAGGCAGCCUGGUGGUACCGGUCAGUGUUCAAACUGGUCAAAAUGUGGUGAGAAACAGACAAUUUCAUUCCCCUCGCUCAAAGCUGGGAUAGCCUCCAGAUUAAAUUCCACCUCCUGGUAACUCCUACUGGAUGUAUCUUCUACCAAAGGCCUGUGGAAAGGACCUGAACCAGAGGAGGUUUGGCCCUUCGCAUCUGUGGUGCAGAAUCCAGCGGUGCAUUAUUCUGAUUAGAAGGUCUAAAACAGUGAAUAGAGCAUAUAAAACUGUCUACUGUGUUUCAUCAUACAUAAUUCGCUGCAGCAACCUACAGCCAUCCAAGCUGCUUCAGCCUCCCUCUCACAACCCACUGGUGCCCUGAGAGAUGCUGUCCCAGCAGAGGGGUCCCUGCGUCACCAGCACCUCAGCACUGACAGAGCGGUGUGAUGCCUUCAGAGCAUUCAGCAGGUCCCUCACCUUUUACUGGGCAUCUGAAACUGCCGUGGGGAGAGGCAGGAGGCACCCCGGGGCCUGGCUGUCCCCACAGAGAGUGCGUGACCACCUCUGGGGAAAGAACUUCGGGAGCGCCCAGGCUGCGCAGCAGGAAAACAAUGAGCAGGAGAAAACCUGGAAGCUUUUUGCUGCACUGUUGAAUAUGGAAAUAUAAAAACGUUUGUACCUGGAGCAUCUCUGUCCCUCUUUCCAAUGGGUGACUUCUGAAGCUGGAACUACCCCGCUACCUGCAGCAGCCACUUCUUUCACU
RNAcentral lists this long non-coding RNA (1151 nucleotides) under Anas platyrhynchos platyrhynchos (common mallard). RNAcentral's name for it is "lncRNA (ENSAPLG00000018053.1)". The record is from RNAcentral. Lineage: Eukaryota; Metazoa; Chordata; Aves; Anseriformes; Anatidae.